This 497-nucleotide ribosomal RNA is filed under the name uncultured bacterium. RNAcentral's name for it is "partial 16S ribosomal RNA". It matches the Rfam family "Bacterial small subunit ribosomal RNA", at positions 28 to 507 of the family's 1533-position model. The record is from RNAcentral.
GAUGAACGCUGGCGGCGUGCCUAAUACAUGCAAGUCGAGCGAACAGACGAGGAGCUUGCUUCUCUGACGUUAGCGGCGGACGGGUGAGUAACACGUGGAUAACCUACCUAUAAGACUGGGAUAACUUCGGGAAACCGGCGCUAAUACCGGAUAAUAUUUUGAACCGCAUGGUUCAAUAGUGAAAGACGGUGUUGCUGUCACUUAUAGAUGGAUCCGCGCUGCAUUAGCUAGUUGGUAAGGUAACGGCUUACCAAGGCAACGAUGCGUAGCCGACCUGAGAGGGUGAUCGGCGACACUGGAACUGAGACACGGUCCAGACUCCUACGGGAGGCAGCAGUAGGGAAUCGUCCGCAAUGGGCGAAAGCCUGACGGAGCAACGCCGCGUGAGUGAUGAAGGUCUUCGGAUCGUAAAACUCUGUUAUUAGGGAAGAACAUAUGUGUAAGUAACUGUGCACGUCUUGACGGUACCUAAUCAGAAAGCCACGGCUAACUACGUG